This 497-nucleotide ribosomal RNA is filed under the name uncultured bacterium. RNAcentral's name for it is "partial 16S ribosomal RNA". It matches the Rfam family "Bacterial small subunit ribosomal RNA", at positions 28 to 507 of the family's 1533-position model. The record is from RNAcentral.
GAUGAACGCUGGCGGCGUGCCUAAUACAUGCAAGUCGAGCGAACGGAUGAGAAGCUUGCUUCUCUGAUGUUAGCGGCGGACGGGUGAGUAACACUUGGAUAACCUACCUAUAAGACUGGGAUACCUUCGGGAAACCGGCGCUACUACCGGAUAAUAUUUUGACCUGCAUGGUUCACACGUGAAAGACGGUCUUGCUGUCACUUAUAGAUGGAUCCGCGCUGCAUUAGCUAGUUGGUAAGGUAACGGCUUACCAAGGCAACGAAGCAUAGCCGACCUGAGAGGGAGGACGACCACACUGGAACUGAGAAAGAGUCCACACUCCGAGAGUAGGCAGCAGUAGAGAAUCUUCCGCGAGGGAGGAGAGCCGGACGGAGCAACACGGCGGGAAUGAUGAAGGACUUAGGAUCGGAAAACGCUGUUAGUAGUAAGAUAGAAAUAUUUUUGUAACUGUGCAGAUCUUGACGGUACCUAAAGAAAAAGCCACGGCUAACUACGUG